AGUCAUUGCUAUCCGAAUCCGACUAAGCCAUGCAAGUUUUGAUGUUCAUCUUUGGGCAUCAGGGCGGAAAGCUCAGUAACACGUAGUUAACAUGCCCUCAAGUCUGGGAUAAUCUCGGGAAACUGAGGCUAAUACCAGAUAGAUAAAAGACACUGGAAUGUUCUUUUAUCCAAAGAUUUAUCGCUUGAGGAUUGGACUGCGCCGGAUUAGGUUGUUGUGAAGGUAAAAUCUUCCCAAGCCGAUAAUCCGUACGAGCCUUGAGAGAGGAAGCUCGGAGAUGGAUUCUGAGACAAGAAUCCAGGCCCUACGGGGCGCAGCAGGCGCGAAACUUUCCCAAUGCACGAAAGUGUGAGGAAGGGAUUCGGAGUGCAUUCUCUUAUAAAGGGGAUGCUUUUGUGGAGUGUAAAAAGCUUCAAGAAUAAGUGGUGGGUAAGACGGGUGCCAGCCGCCGCGGUAAUACCCGCGCCACGAGUGAUGACCACGUUUAUUGGGCUUAAAGCGUUCGUAGCCGGACCAGAAAGUCCUUAGUGAAAUCCCGCAGCUAACUGUGGGGCUUGCUAGGGAAACUGCUGGACUUGGGACCGGGAGAGGUCUGGGGUACUCAAGGGGUAGGGGUAAAACCCUUUUGCGCACGAGACAAGCAAAAGCGUUUGCGGAAAAUCAAUGCGCAUUUGGUUAUAGUCCUGUAAUCCUUUGGGGACCACCGGUGGCGAAGGCGCCAGACCAGAACGGACCCGACGGUGAGGGACGAAAGCUAGGGGAGCAAAGGGGAUUAGAUACCCCCGUAGUCCUAGCUGUAAACGAUGCCCACUAGACAUUGGCAAUCUCACGGGGGUUGCCAGUGCCGUAGCGAAAGCGUUAAGUGGGCCGCCUGGGGAGUACGGUCGCAAGGCUGAAACUUAAGGG
RNAcentral lists this ribosomal RNA (906 nucleotides) under uncultured archaeon. Its description in RNAcentral is "bacterial SSU rRNA". It matches the Rfam family "Archaeal small subunit ribosomal RNA", at positions 21 to 862 of the family's 1478-position model. The record is from RNAcentral.